CAAACAAGGAGUGAUGAAGUAAAUCAGGUUGCAACAGGGCAUCAAAGCAAACAGAAACGUUCCAGAGAAUCCAAGAGACACUCUUCAUCUAAGAGAAGGAAGAGUAUGUCGCGGUGGUUAAACAAACAGGAAGAUGCUAGUAUCACUCACAAUGUCCAUGAAGAGAAGAUAAAAAAAAUGGCCAACCAGCACCUGGUAAUGUCGUCACUACUGUUCCACCAGCGCUUAUUAAUAUAGCAGC
This 241-nucleotide long non-coding RNA is filed under the name Homo sapiens (human). Its description in RNAcentral is "non-protein coding lnc-CT45A3-2:1". Lineage: Eukaryota; Metazoa; Chordata; Mammalia; Primates; Hominidae. The record is from RNAcentral.